This 1448-nucleotide ribosomal RNA is filed under the name uncultured bacterium. RNAcentral's name for it is "partial 16S ribosomal RNA". It matches the Rfam family "Bacterial small subunit ribosomal RNA". The record is from RNAcentral.
AGAGUUUGAUCCUGGCUCAGAACGUACGCUGGCGGCACGCCUAAUACAUGCAAGUCGAACGAAGUAGCAAUACUUAGUGGCAGACGGGUGAGUAACAUGUGGGUAUCUUCCCUUUGGUGAGGAAUAACACGAGGAAACUUGUGCUAAUACCUCAUAAGUCUUUACGGAGAAAGCUUUAUGCGCCAUUGGAUGAGCCUGCACUUGAUUAGUUUGUUGGUGGGGUAAUGGCCUACCAAGACAAUGAUCAAUAGCUGAUUUGAGAGGAUGAUCAGCCACAUUGGGACUGAGACACGGCCCAAACUCCUACGGGAGGCAGCAGUAGGGAAUCUUGCACAAUGGAGGAAACUCUGAUGCAGCGAUGCCGCGUGAGUGAAGAAGGCCUUUGGGUUGUAAAGCUCUUUCGUCGGGGAAGAAAAUGACUGUACCCGAAUAAGAAGGUCCGGCUAACUUCGUGCCAGCAGCCGCGGUAAUACGAAGGGACCUAGCGUAGUUCGGAAUUACUGGGCUUAAAGAGUUCGUAGGUGGUUAAAAAAGUUGAUGGUGAAAUCCCAGAGCUUAACUCUGGAACUGCCAUCAAAACUUUUUAGCUAGAGUAUGAUAGAGGAAAGCAGAAUUUCUAGUGUAGAGGUGAAAUUCGUAGAUAUUAGAAAGAAUACCAACUGCGAAGGCAGCUUUCUGGAUCAUUACUGACGCUGAGGAACGAAAGCAUGGGUAGCGAAGAGGAUUAGAUACCCUCGUAGUCCAUGCUGUAAACGAUGUGUGCUAGACGUUGGAAAUUUAGUUUUCAGUGUCGCAGCAAAAGCGUUAAGCACACCGCCUGGGGAGUACGACCGCAAGGUUAAAACUCAAAUGAAUUGACGGGGACCCGCACAAGUAGUGGAGCAUGUGGUUUAAUUCGAAGAUACGCGCAGAACCUUACCAACACUUGACAUGUUCGUCGCGACUCUAAGAGAUUAGAGUUUUCGGUUCGGCCGGACGAAACACAGGUGCUGCAUGGCUGUCGUCAGCUCGUGUCGUGAGAUGUUGGGUUAAGUCCCGCAACGAGCGCAACCCCUACUUUUAGUUGCCACCAUUUAGUUGAGCACUCUAAAAGAACUGCCAGUGAUAAGCUGGAGGAAGGCGGGGAUGACGUCAAGUCCUCAUGGCCCUUACGUGUUGGGCUACACACGUGUUACAAUGGGAGUUACAGAGGGAAGCUAAGCCGCGAGGCCAUGCCAAUCCCAGAAAAACUUUCUCAGUUCGGAUCGCAGUCUGCAACUCGACUGCGUGAAGCUGGAAUCGCUAGUAAUCGCGGAUCAGCACGCCGCGGUGAAUACGUUCCCGGGCCUUGUACACACCGCCCGUCACACCAUGGGAGCCGACAAGGGCAGAAGUCGCCGAGCUAACCUUCGGGAAGCAGGCGCCCAAGCUGUUGUUGACGACUGGGGUGAAGUCGUAACAAGGUAACC